CUCGUAGGCGGCCCUCUAAGUCAGACGUGAAAUCCCUCGGCUUAACCGGGGAACUGCGUCUGAUACUGGAGGGCUCGAGUGUGGGAGAGGGAUGCGGAAUUCCAGGUGUAGCGGUGAAAUGCGUAGAUAUCUGGAGGAACACCGGUGGCGAAGGCGGCAUCCUGGACUACUACUGACGCUGAGGAGCGAAAGCCAGGGGAGCAAACG
Molecule: ribosomal RNA, 207 nt
Filed under: uncultured bacterium
Lineage: Bacteria
Description: partial 16S ribosomal RNA
Rfam family: Bacterial small subunit ribosomal RNA
Source: RNAcentral